RNAcentral lists this ribosomal RNA (158 nucleotides) under Megasphaera elsdenii. RNAcentral describes it as "16S rRNA. Bacterial SSU". It matches the Rfam family "Bacterial small subunit ribosomal RNA", at positions 19 to 167 of the family's 1533-position model. The record is from RNAcentral. Lineage: Bacteria; Bacillati; Bacillota; Negativicutes; Veillonellales; Veillonellaceae.
CUGGCUCAGGACGAACGCUGGCGGCGUGCUUAACACAUGCAAGUCGAACGAGAAGAGAUGAGAAGCUUGCUUCUUAUUGAUUCGAGUGGCAAACGGGUGAGUAACGCGUAAGCAACCUGCCCUUCAGAUGGGGACAACAGCUGGAAACGGCUGCUAAU